AUCCUUUUGUAGUUCAUAAGUGUGAUGAUUAGGUUUUCACAUUUGUGUGUGAGAUGUAUCUCCCUCAAACAUUUUAUGACAUCGGCAUAUUAUCCUUCUGAUG
This is a small nucleolar RNA of Macaca fascicularis (crab-eating macaque), 103 nucleotides long. NCBI's taxonomy places the organism in Eukaryota, Metazoa, Chordata, Mammalia, Primates, Cercopithecidae. The record is from Ensembl.